Long non-coding RNA from Armigeres subalbatus, 207 nucleotides. RefSeq lists it as uncharacterized. NCBI's taxonomy places the organism in Eukaryota, Metazoa, Arthropoda, Insecta, Diptera, Culicidae. The transcript has 3 exons. The record is from RefSeq and is a predicted model, not a curated record.
CGCAGAUAACAGUGGAAGUGUCUUGCUUUGUUCGUGUGUCGUUUUUCAAUUUUUCUAGUUGAAUUGUGCAAGUCAAUAUAGUGUGCGUCGUAGGCUAGAUUUGUGUGCUUAAAAUCGAUCUAGGCCAGCCGACGGCUAUAUUUCCUUCCACGCGCCAGGUCAGCGGAAUCCCCCGGACGAAAGACCCCGGCAACCGUCAUCUUGUCC